UUUCGCAAUGCCCGAAAGGGUGACGAAGCGACGCCGCGUGCGGGAAGAAGGCCUUCGGGUUGUAAACCGCUGUCGGGAGUUAAGAAAUGUAAGGAUGUUAAUAGCAUCUUUGCUUGACUAAGGCUCCGGAGGAAGCCACGGCUAACUCUGUGCCAGCAGCCGCGGUAAUACAGAGGCGGCAAGCGUUGUUCGGAAUUAUUGGGCGUAAAGAGCACGUAGGCGGCUAUGUAAGUCGGUUGUGAAAGCCUUCCGCUCAACGGGAGAACAGCAUCCGAUACUGCAUGGCUUGAGUGCGGGAGGGGAGAGUGGAACUUCUGGUGGAGCGGUGAAAUGCGUAGAUAUCAGAAGGAACGCCGGCGGCGAAAGCGGCUCUCUGGCCCAUAACUGACGCUGAGUGUGCGAAAGCUAGGGGAGCAAACGGGAUUAGGUACCCCGGUAGUCCUAGCCGUAAACGAUGGGCACUAAGUAGAGGGGUUUUA
RNAcentral lists this ribosomal RNA (479 nucleotides) under uncultured anaerobic ammonium-oxidizing bacterium. RNAcentral describes it as "bacterial SSU rRNA". It matches the Rfam family "Bacterial small subunit ribosomal RNA", at positions 364 to 833 of the family's 1533-position model. The record is from RNAcentral.